CGGGUGAGUAACACGUGGGUGAUCUGCCCUGCACUCUGGGAUAAGCCUGGGAAACUGGGUCUAAUACCGGAUAGGACCAUGCUUUAGUGUGUGUGGUGGAAAGUUUUUCGGUGUAGGAUGAGCCCGCGGCCUAUCAGCUUGUUGGUGGGGUAAUGGCCUACCAAGGCGGCGACGGGUAGCCGGACUGAGAGGUUGGUCGGCCACAUUGGGACUGAGAUACGGCCCAG
This 227-nucleotide ribosomal RNA is filed under the name uncultured Actinomycetales bacterium. RNAcentral's name for it is "partial 16S ribosomal RNA". It matches the Rfam family "Bacterial small subunit ribosomal RNA", at positions 103 to 334 of the family's 1533-position model. The record is from RNAcentral. Lineage: Bacteria; Bacillati; Actinomycetota; Actinomycetes; Actinomycetales.